AUUGAACGCUGGCGGCAUGCCUUACACAUGCGAGUCGAACGGCAGCACGGGUGCUUGCACCUGGUGGCGAGUGGCGAACGGGUGAGUAAUACAUCGGCACAUGUCCUGUCGUGGGGGAUAGCCCGGCGAAAGCCGGAUUAAUACCGCAUACGAUCUCCGGAUGAAAGCGGGGGCCCUUCGGCCCUCGCGCUAUAGCGUUUGCCGAUGCCUGAUUAGCUAGUUGGCGGGGUAAAGGCCCACCAAGGCGACGACCAGUAGCUGGGCUGAGAGGAGGAUCAGCAACACUGGAACGGAGACACGGUCCAGACUCCUACGGGAGGCAGCAGUGGGGAAUAUUGGACAAUGGGCGGAAGACUGAUCCAGCCAUAAAGCGUGGGUGAAGAAGGCCUUCGGGUUGUAAAGCACUUUUGUUGGGAAAGAAAAGCAGCAGGUUAAUACCCAGCUGUUAUGACGGUACCCAAAGAAUAAGCACCGGCUAACUUCGUG
This 486-nucleotide ribosomal RNA is filed under the name uncultured bacterium. RNAcentral's name for it is "partial 16S ribosomal RNA". It matches the Rfam family "Bacterial small subunit ribosomal RNA", at positions 30 to 507 of the family's 1533-position model. The record is from RNAcentral.